This 163-nucleotide ribosomal RNA is filed under the name Heracleum souliei. RNAcentral's name for it is "5.8S ribosomal RNA". It matches the Rfam family "5.8S ribosomal RNA". From Rfam's summary of the family: 5.8S ribosomal RNA (5.8S rRNA) is a component of the large subunit of the eukaryotic ribosome. It is transcribed by RNA polymerase I as part of the 45S precursor that also contains 18S and 28S rRNA. RNAcentral also lists the same sequence under 1 other name. Lineage: Eukaryota; Viridiplantae; Streptophyta; Magnoliopsida; Apiales; Apiaceae. The record is from RNAcentral.
AACGACUCUCGACAACGGAUAUCUCGGCUCUCGCAUCGAUGAAGAACGUAGCGAAAUGCGAUACUUGGUGUGAAUUGCAGAAUCCCGUGAACCAUCGAGUCUUUGAACGCAAGUUGCGCCCGAAGCCAAUUAGGCUGAGGGCACGUCUGCCUGGGUGUCACAC